Molecule: ribosomal RNA, 432 nt
Filed under: uncultured bacterium
Lineage: Bacteria
Description: partial 16S ribosomal RNA
Rfam family: Bacterial small subunit ribosomal RNA
Source: RNAcentral
ACGAACGCUGGCGGCAUGCCUCACACCUGCCAGUCGAACGAGACCUUCGGGUCUAGUGGCGCACGGGUGCGUAACGCGUGGGAACCUGCCCUUAGGUUCGGAAUAACUCCCCGAAAGGGGUGCUAAUACCGGAUAAUGUCUUCGGACCAAAGAUUUAUCGCCUUUGGAUGGGCCCGCGUUGGAUUAGCUAGUUGGUAGGGUAAAAGCCUACCAAGGCGACGAUCCAUAGCUGGUCUGAGAGGAUGAUCAGCCACACUGGGACUGAGACACGGCCCAGACUCCUACGGGAGGCAGCAGUGGGGAAUAUUGGACAAUGGGCGAAAGCCUGAUCCAGCAAUGCCGCGUGAGUGAUGAAGGCCUUAGGGUUGUAAAGCUCUUUUACCCGGGAUGAUAAUGACAGUACCGGGAGAAUAAGCUCCGGCUAACUCCGUG